This 746-nucleotide ribosomal RNA is filed under the name uncultured Achromobacter sp. RNAcentral's name for it is "bacterial SSU rRNA". It matches the Rfam family "Bacterial small subunit ribosomal RNA", at positions 9 to 750 of the family's 1533-position model. The record is from RNAcentral. Lineage: Bacteria; Pseudomonadati; Pseudomonadota; Betaproteobacteria; Burkholderiales; Alcaligenaceae.
GAGUUUGAUCCUGGCUCAGAUUGAACGCUAGCGGGAUGCCUUACACAUGCAAGUCGAACGGCAGCACGGACUUCGGUCUGGUGGCGAGUGGCGAACGGGUGAGUAAUGUAUCGGAACGUGCCCAGUAGCGGGGGAUAACUACGCGAAAGCGUAGCUAAUACCGCAUACGCCCUACGGGGGAAAGCAGGGGAUCGCAAGACCUUGCACUAUUGGAGCGGCCGAUAUCGGAUUAGCUAGUUGGUGGGGUAACGGCUCACCAAGGCGACGAUCCGUAGCUGGUUUGAGAGGACGACCAGCCACACUGGGACUGAGACACGGCCCAGACUCCUACGGGAGGCAGCAGUGGGGAAUUUUGGACAAUGGGGGAAACCCUGAUCCAGCCAUCCCGCGUGUGCGAUGAAGGCCUUCGGGUUGUAAAGCACUUUUGGCAGGAAAGAAACGUCAUGGGUUAAUACCCCGUGAAACUGACGGUACCUGCAGAAUAAGCACCGGCUAACUACGUGCCAGCAGCCGCGGUAAUACGUAGGGUGCAAGCGUUAAUCGGAAUUACUGGGCGUAAAGCGUGCGCAGGCGGUUCGGAAAGAAAGAUGUGAAAUCCCAGAGCUUAACUUUGGAACUGCAUUUUUAACUACCGGGCUAGAGUGUGUCAGAGGGAGGUGGAAUUCCGCGUGUAGCAGUGAAAUGCGUAGAUAUGCGGAGGAACACCGAUGGCGAAGGCAGCCUCCUGGGAUAACACUGACGCUCAU